GCGGGAGUAGCUCAUCUGGUAGAGCGCAACCUUGCCAAGGUUGAGGUAGCGGGUUCGAGCCCCGUCUCCCGCUCCA
This 76-nucleotide transfer RNA is filed under the name Pseudomonadota bacterium. RNAcentral describes it as "Proteobacteria bacterium (cold seep metagenome) tRNA-Gly". It matches the Rfam family "tRNA". Rfam says of the family: Transfer RNA (tRNA) molecules are approximately 80 nucleotides in length. Their secondary structure includes four short double-helical elements and three loops (D, anti-codon, and T loops). Further hydrogen bonds mediate the characteristic L-shaped molecular structure. tRNAs have two regions of fundamental functional importance: the anti-codon, which is responsible for specific mRNA codon recognition, and the 3' end, to which the tRNAs corresponding amino acid is attached (by aminoacyl-tRNA synthetases). tRNAs cope with the degeneracy of the genetic code in two manners: having more than one tRNA (with a specific anti-codon) for a particular amino acid; and 'wobble' base-pairing, i.e. permitting non-standard base-pairing at the 3rd anti-codon position. The record is from RNAcentral. RNAcentral also lists the same sequence under 3 other names. Lineage: Bacteria; Pseudomonadati; Pseudomonadota.